This 449-nucleotide ribosomal RNA is filed under the name uncultured bacterium. RNAcentral describes it as "partial 16S ribosomal RNA". It matches the Rfam family "Bacterial small subunit ribosomal RNA", at positions 338 to 795 of the family's 1533-position model. The record is from RNAcentral.
CGUACGGGGGGCAGCAGUGGGGAAUAUUGGACAAUGGGCGCAAGCCUGAUCCAGCAAUACCGCGUGUGUGAAGAAGGCCUUAGGGUUGUAAAGCACUUUCAAUGGGGAGGAAAACCUACCGGUCAAUACCCGGUAGCUUGACAUUACCUGUAGAAGAAGCACCGGCUAACUCCGUGCCAGCAGCCGCGGUAAUACGGAGGGUGCUAGCGUGGCGCGGAAUUUGCGGGCGUGAAGCGUGAAGUCACGGGUGAAAGCCCCGGGCUUAACCUGGGAACUGCAUUUGAAACUGGCGGACUAGAGUUGAGUAGAGGGGAGUGGAAUUUCAGGUGUAGCGGUGAAAUGCGUAGAUAUCUGAAGGAACACCAGUGGCGAAGGCGACUCCCUGGACUCAAACUGACGCUGAGGUACGAAAGCGUGGGUAGCAAACAGGAUUAGAUACCCGAGUAGUC